GACGAACGCUGGCGGCGUGCUUAACACAUGCAAGUCGAACGGUGAAGCGCCUUCCUUUUUGGUGGGUGUGGAUGAGUGGCGAACGGGUGAGUAACACGUGAGUAACCUGCCCCCUUCUUCUGGAUAACCGCAUGAAAGUGUGGCUAAUACGGGAUAUUCUGGGUCUGUCGCAUGAUGGGUCUGGGAAAGAUAUUGUUUCGGUGGGGGAUGGGCUCGCGGCCUAUCAGCUUGUUGGUGGGGUGAUGGCCUACCAAGGCGGUGACGGGUAGCCGGCCUGAGAGGGUGGACGGUCACACUGGGACUGAGACACAGCCCAGACUCCUACGGGAGGCAGCAGGGGGGAAUAUUGCACAAGGGGCGCAAGCCUGAUGCAGCGACGCCGCGUGAGGGAUGGAGGCCUUCGGGUUGUGAACCUCUUUCGCCAGUGAAGCAGGCCUGCCUCGUUUGUGGGUGGGUUGACGGUAGCUGGAUAAGAAGCGCCGGCUAACUACGUG
Molecule: ribosomal RNA, 494 nt
Filed under: uncultured bacterium
Lineage: Bacteria
Description: partial 16S ribosomal RNA
Rfam family: Bacterial small subunit ribosomal RNA
Source: RNAcentral